ACAAUCUAAUUAAAAACCGAUCCCUCAUCGCUUCUGUUUCUGAUAUGUCGCGUGGGAGAUCUAACGAAACCGGCUUUGAGGUCACAUGUGAGUGAACUAAAAGUCAUGAAUUUAUAAAGAUAUGCAAAUGACUUGACGACCUAUUAAUAAGCCAAUCAAAAAAGUUUAUGAAUUAUUUUGACUGACGAUUUCGUCGUAAAUGAAAUGAGUUACAUCCCUUUGCCUUACGUUAAACUUCCAAGAUCGUGGAAGACUCAAUUUCAUUGGUCGAAAAAG
RNAcentral lists this long non-coding RNA (276 nucleotides) under Mytilus galloprovincialis (Mediterranean mussel). The record is from RNAcentral. Lineage: Eukaryota; Metazoa; Mollusca; Bivalvia; Mytilida; Mytilidae.